This 405-nucleotide long non-coding RNA is filed under the name Rattus norvegicus (Norway rat). RNAcentral's name for it is "long non-coding RNA NONRATT008869". The record is from RNAcentral. Lineage: Eukaryota; Metazoa; Chordata; Mammalia; Rodentia; Muridae.
GAAUUUUAAGGGUUCCCUGGUAUUCCAAAGCCGAGUUUUGAGCACCACCACACCUGCAGCGCGGAUUCCGGGACUUCAACAUGUAUCUUGGUUCUUGGUUAAAUCGUCUAGGCAGGGGUUUAUCCAGACCCAUCGGAAAGACCAAGCAGCCAAUCUGGGGUUCUCUUUCCAGAAGUCUGACGUUGAGUUCACAGAGAGUUCCAGGUGAAGGCAGCUACAAGCUGUUUUUGACAGCUUGUUUUCCCCAUCCUAACUGCAUUUUAAUAGCAAGUCAUUCAUUCUCUUGAUUACUUAUAAUCAAGUUUUUCCCCCUCUUGAUUAUGAAAAAAGAUAGAUAGUCUGUUUAAUGUACACUAUUAAUAGAAAAACUAAAAUAAUUUAAAUAAAAUCUUCCUGACAUCCAAA